UACCUGCGGAACGAUUGUCUCAUGAUCGAGUGUGAAGUCAGUGUUAUCAAGGAAUCACUCGAUAUCCAUGUGCCGCCCUCUGACAUUCUGGAUAAUCUUGCAACCUUGCUAGAGGGGAAGAUAGGAGCAGACGUGACUUUCAAGGUUAAAGGGGAGAUUUUUUCUGCUCACAAGAUUUUGCUCGCGAUGAGAUCGGCGGUCUUCAACGCGGAGUUCUACGGGGCGAUGAGGGACAAAGGAGCGCAGGACAUAACUGUUGACGACAUGCAGCCUGCUGUUUUCAGGGCAUUUCUUCACUUCAUAUACACGGAUUCAAUGCCUCCCAUGGACGGUCUUGAGGAUGAUGACAAAAGAGAAAUGGUUAAGCACUUACUCGUGGCUGCGGACAAGUAUGCCAUGGAAAGGAUGAAGAGGAUAUGUGAAAGCAUGCUAUGCAAGAGUCUUGAUGUUGAGACUGUGGCGACCAUAUUAGCUCUGGCUAACCAGUAUCAUUGCAACAACCUCAAAGAUGCUUGCAUUGAAUUUAUGCUCUCUUCAAAUAGAAUGAAAGAUGUGAUCUCAAGCCAAGGUUAUCUACACCUCAAAAGAUCUUCUCCUGAUGUCAUCGUGGAUGUGUUGGAGAGAGCAGCGAAGUUCUGCAAG
RNAcentral lists this ribosomal RNA (642 nucleotides) under Triticum aestivum (bread wheat). RNAcentral's name for it is "partial small subunit ribosomal RNA". The record is from RNAcentral. Lineage: Eukaryota; Viridiplantae; Streptophyta; Magnoliopsida; Poales; Poaceae.